RNAcentral lists this ribosomal RNA (422 nucleotides) under uncultured bacterium. Its description in RNAcentral is "bacterial SSU rRNA". It matches the Rfam family "Bacterial small subunit ribosomal RNA", at positions 355 to 774 of the family's 1533-position model. The record is from RNAcentral.
UGAGGAAUAUUGGGCAAUGCCCGCAAGGGUGACCCAGCAACGCCGCGUGGAGGAUGAAUGUCGUAAGAUUGUAAACUCCUGUUAGAGGGGAAGAAUAGUACCGGUUGGACCGGUAUAUGACUGUACCCUCAGAGAAAGCCCCGGCUAACUACGUGCCAGCAGCCGCGGUAAUACGUAGGGGGCAAGCGUUGUCCGGAUUUACUGGGUGUAAAGGGCGCGCAGGCGGGAUAAAAAGUCAGUGGUGAAAUCCUACAGCUUAACUGUAGAACUGCCUUUGAUACUUUUAUUCUUGAGUUCGGGAGAGAGAGACGGAAUUCCAGGUGUAGUGGUGGAAUACGUAGAUAUCUGGAAGAACACCAGUUGCGAAGGCGGUCUCUUGGUCCGACACUGACGCUGAGGCGCGAAAGCGUGGGGAGCAAACA